This is a non-coding RNA of Lutzomyia longipalpis, 75 nucleotides long. Lineage: Eukaryota; Metazoa; Arthropoda; Insecta; Diptera; Psychodidae. The record is from Rfam.
UUGCAGAAACCCGUAGAUCCGAACUUGCGCUCUUGGUUAAAUCUGCCCAAGAACGGAUAUACGGGAAUCUGUCGA